Molecule: ribosomal RNA, 733 nt
Filed under: uncultured Bacillota bacterium
Lineage: Bacteria; Bacillati; Bacillota
Description: bacterial SSU rRNA
Rfam family: Bacterial small subunit ribosomal RNA
Source: RNAcentral
AAGGGGCUUCGGCCCUGAGUAGAGUGGCGAACGGGUGAGUAACACGUGGGUGAUCUACCUUUGAGUGGGGGAUAACGUUCCGAAAGGAGCGCUAAUACCGCAUGACGUUCCGGGUUUGAAGACCUGGAAACCAAAGUCGGGGACCGCAAGGCCCGGCGCUUGGAGAGGAGCCCGCGCCUGAUUAGCUAGUUGGUGGGGUAAUGGCUCACCAAGGCGACGAUCAGUAGCCGGCCUGAGAGGGCGGACGGCCACACUGGGACUGAGACACGGCCCAGACUCCUACGGGAGGCAGCAGUGGGGAAUUGUUCGCAAUGGGCGCAAGCCUGACGACGCAACGCCGCGUGGAGGAUGAAGGUCUUCGGAUUGUAAACUCCUGUUGACCGGGAAGAACGGGCCCUGACCUAAUACGUCGGGGCAGUGACGGUACCGGUUGAGGAAGCCACGGCUAACUCUGUGCCAGCAGCCGCGGUAAUACAGAGGUGGCAAGCGUUGUUCGGAAUUACUGGGCGUAAAGGGGCGCGUAGGCGGCCUUCUAAGUCGGACGUGAAAUCCCCAGGCUUAACUUGGGAACUGCGUCUGAUACUGGAAGGCUUGAGUGCGGAAAAGGGAUGUGAAAUUCCAGGUGUAGCGGUGAAAUGCGUAAAUUUCUGGAGGAACACCGGUUGGCGAAGGCGGCAUCCUGGACCCGACACUGACGCUGAGGCGCGAAAGCCAGGGGAGCAAACGGGAUUAA